GUGACUGGAACGCCGAGUCCUGCCUGCCGGUCACGGUCAACAACCCACAGGCAUGGAGCGGGGGACCCACCAGUUCCUCGGCACGUCCACGAGCCGGAGUUCCCGGAACGCAUGGACGAGCCUCGGGGUGAAGCCGCACCCGUGCGGCCGGGCUCCUCGGCCCGAACCCGACAGCUCACCUCGCAGGCGUGGAGGGAAAACUU
This 203-nucleotide small RNA is filed under the name Actinoplanes sp. Its description in RNAcentral is "c-di-AMP sequence". It matches the Rfam family "c-di-AMP riboswitch aptamer (ydaO/yuaA leader)". Rfam says of the family: This family represents a conserved RNA structure found upstream of the ydaO and yuaA genes in Bacillus subtilis and related genes in other bacteria. RNAcentral also lists the same sequence under 1 other name. The record is from RNAcentral. Lineage: Bacteria; Bacillati; Actinomycetota; Actinomycetes; Micromonosporales; Micromonosporaceae.